This 710-nucleotide long non-coding RNA is filed under the name Nicotiana benthamiana. RNAcentral's name for it is "long non-coding RNA (NBEN_LNC003753)". The record is from RNAcentral. Lineage: Eukaryota; Viridiplantae; Streptophyta; Magnoliopsida; Solanales; Solanaceae.
CAUAAUCCUUAAGGUAAGAAGGAGGAUUGUGUUGUCUUCCAGAUUUUCUGGGAACAGCAGCUGAUGUGGAAGAAGGUAAAGCAGGAGGUGAACUCUCAGGGUUGAAAGGAGGACUGGAAAUUGGAUAGGAAGAAGGAGAAUCUUAAACAGAAGGUGAAGGUUGAGAAGAAGAUAUGGGAAUAGAGAAAUCUGGCUCAGAAAGGGAAUGCUCAAGAGGAGGAAAAAAAUGAAAAGAAGAGGGAGAAACAGGAGGAAUAGAGGUGACAGAAGAAACAGAUUUGAAAGGAAAAGAAUUUUCAUGAAAGAUAACAUCCCUGGACACAAAGCACCUUUUGGAACUGAGAUCAUACAGUCUAUAACCCUUUUUAGCAAAAGAAUACCCCAGGAAAACACAUGAAAUGGCCCUAGGUUUCAACUUGUCCCUUUGAGGAAUUGGGACAGUAGCAUAGGCAAGGCAGCCAAAAGUCUUUAAAUGGGAGUAAGUGGGUGUCUUACCAUGCAAUAUUUCAUAAGGGGAUUUGCCAUGAAGAAGCCUGGAGGGUAUUCUGUUAAGCUUACUAUGCAACAUAAGGGGAUUUACCAUGAAGAAGCCUGGAGGGUAUUGUGUUAAUAAGAUAGGUAGCAGUUAAUAGGCAAUCUCCCCAAAAAGAGAUAGGUAAACCAGAUUGGAAAAGUAAAGCUCUACAGGUUUCAAGAAGAGUUCUAUGUNN